Molecule: long non-coding RNA, 9044 nt
Organism: Bombyx mori (domestic silkworm)
Lineage: Eukaryota; Metazoa; Arthropoda; Insecta; Lepidoptera; Bombycidae
Exons: 3
Source: RefSeq, a predicted model, not a curated record
AAUAUUACAUAGUACGAUUUGUUAAUUUCGUGAGUGAAGAGCCUUAAGACUUUGUCACAUUAAAUUGUCACGUAUAGUGUCAUAAUAUCUACGAAAUGACAGUUCACCGUGACAAAUCUUGUUGUAAUUUUUUGUUUAAACCUUUUUGUUUUUAAAACGACUUCUACGGUUUUAUCUCGCGUCUGUUAAUUUUAUUUCAUUGUUUCGGGCAUUUCGAAUGCUUUAAACAGUUUUCUUGGUCACGGAUGAUUAAAUUGUUGUAUACUAGCGACCCGCCCACGCUUCGCUUCGGAAACUGUAAUUUAUUAUUGAUUUCUCCACUAUUUAAUGGAUGUUAUUAUACAUAUAAACCUUCCUCUUCAAUCACUCUAUCUAUUAAAAAAAAACGCAUCAAAAUCCGUUGCGUAGUUUUAAAGAUUUAAGCAUACAUAGGGACAGACAGAUAUAGGGACACAGAAAGCGACUUUGUUUUAUACUAUGCAGUGAUUCACAUUUGAAUAUCGCUAAAUAAUAAAAUGACAGUAAUAAAUGUGAGAUUAAACUGUGAAAGCAGUUCUAAUCGUGUCUGCGACUCGUGUGAUGUAUGCCGCCCACCUGCUGUACAAAGUUUCCCGAAAUUCCUGAUCCAUUCUGAAUGGAUUCCUCGAUUCACGAAUAGCCAAAUCGCUCUACGAAACUACAUAAGCUAUCUAGCAAGAGGCCAAGGUAGAUCUUCAUAUUUUCUCUUGACAAUCGAUUAGAUCAACCAUUGAUAGCAGUUUUUCAGACGAAACCUUAACUCGCUUGCUAUUAUCAGUAACGUGUUUAGAUAAAAUUUAGUCGAACGUGAUUAUGAUAACCAUUAUGUCGUGACAGACGUUCGUUAAGACAUCCGCAUCCUCACAAUCUAUGCGAGAUAAAAUAUAUUAUCAAUUGAUAAUAUUAUAAAGCUGAAGAGUUUGUUUGUUUGAACGCACUAAUCUCAGGAACUACUGGUCCGAUUUGAAAAAUUCUUUCAGUGUUAGAUAGCCCGUUUAUCGAGGAAGGCUAUAGGCUAUAUAUAACAUCACGCUAAGACCAAUAAAAGCGGAGCACCAAUAAAUAAUGUUUCAAAAUCGGUUUUUUCCCUUUUGAGAGCUUCUGCUGCGUGCGCUGCAGAAACGGUUAAAGUUUCGCAAAAGUAAUGUAUGACAGAAUUGUUCCCCUUUAAAAUAUCGAAAAAAAAGUCCGCGACAGCGUAUGUCUAUAUAUUAAGGUUGGCUCACUAUAACGUUUUUAUGCUAACCAAAUUUGUUCUACAAUAAAGCAUUAUUUGUGAACGCGGACGAAGUCGCGGGCAAAAGCUAGUCAAUUGAUAAAACGAAAAUAAUAGACUCGCUGUUUGUUGACUUUGACGUAUUUAAAAUUACAAACGUUUCCGUAAUUACGUACGAAUAAUAAUUAAUUAUUUCAGUUUUAUUAUGAUAAUUACAUAUUUCAGAUAUUACUACUGACUUUUUUCGCUUAUCAUUAAAAUAAAAUUUACGAUAUAAUUUCGCGUUUUUUUAUCAUCAUACUACCAGACGUGACAGACGUUAUCCUGUCCUAAAUCUGAAAAUUAUAAAAUCUUUUUCUCUUCGAAAAUCUCUCUUAGAAAAAUAUUAUUAAUAAGAAUUUUUUUUAGAGGACCGAAUGGAAAAUGUAAAUCAUUCUCGAUUUCGUUGGAAUACACACAAAAAAAACCAUCAAAAUCGGUCCAGUCGUUUAGAAGGAGUUAACUAAUCUAUCUAAAACUAAUCUAAUAUACACACGGACAGAAGCAUUACAUAAUAUAUUAAGAUUAUAUGCGACAUUUAGAAGACUUCACAGUUUUCGUGGCUACUAAUCCGCGAAAACUGCAAAGAAUUCGAAAAGUCGUAUUGGUUUUCUUCUAGUGUUUCAAAAUUUUAUGAGUGUACUUGACACUGGCUAAUGCACAAGCCGUGCCGGAGCAAAAAAAGAAGAAGAUAAUCAAUAUAGACUUAGAAGCUUACCUAGAUUGCACAGCUGCGGCACGUAGACGGGCAGCCAUUCCGGUUCGAUGGCCGUUACGUUGCUCAUCACCAUCUUCCUUCGUUCCUCGGCGCCCGUCUCGUAUAGCUGCUGGUACACCACCCACUCCGGUAUCGUUUUGCGGAGCACCGAAGCCGAGUGCAGAUGCACGGGCUCCUCCAGGUCGCCGCAGUGGUAAGCGUACUUGAAUUUCCUUUUGUCUUCGCCUGACGUCGAUUAUGUUAAUCUAUACAUCGACGCUUGAAAAGCAAACGUGACCAAGCGACAAUAACUGCUUUAUACAUAAAUGAUAGGCAAUAACCAUAUUCGAUGCGCAAAAAAAAAUAUUUCUAGGUCUAUUAAAAUAAUUUCUAUCCUACAGCUAAAUUCGUUAAAAUAGAUUUUUUUUCAGAUAUUUCAACUUUAAAUUAAUCUACUGUAAAGUUCACGCAUUGUCGCUUAGUAAUGUUUGCCUUUCAAGCGUCGAUAUUAAUACGUGAAGCAAAAAAAUUUUUACGAAAAUUUCACGGACGGGGAAGUAUGAAAUAUCCCACACUUAUAGAGAAUAUAGAGAAGAAGUGCACAAUGCGAAUAUUUUUUUUUUUAAUUAUGCUUAAAAAAUACAUUAAAUCAAUAAAAAUAAAAAUUACACAUACUACAAUGUAUUUAACACACACACACGCAUGCAUACUAUUUGUUUAUUGUCAAACUAUAUAGAGGUAAUGCCUUAUCUUUAUAUAUAUUACGAUAAAUGUACUUGGGAAAAGUACGCUUUUACCGUAAAUGUGCACAUUUGCCAAAAAUAUAGGUAUAUGGGAACUGUAUAUAAUUUAUAUGUACAUUUCCCGGAAAAUGUGUACUCUUGCCUUUACGUUUUGAUAAAAUUGCACACUCUUACCUUCAUGUUUUAAGAAAAGUUGGAAUACAAAUAAAUUAAUAGUGUUGUCGCAGUAAAAAAAUAUUUAUUUAAAUAAACAUAAUACAAAAGGCUUUAAUAACGGAAAUAAUUUUAAUUAAAAAAUGUAAAUGACAAACAAAACAUACUUUUCUUUGCAUAAUAAUAUUGUAGUGGUGCGCACCACAUUACUAGCACUUGCGAUUUCGGAUUUUGUAUGCCAUGGUCACAUUUACCAAAAGGACAUGGUCAUUGUGAAUUCAAAGUAAGUAUUCUUUGAAAUUGUAAAUGUUAGUUGAAUGCACAUUACCCAAACGAGGAGGCAAAUGUGCACAUAUACCGGAAAAUGUGUACAUUUGCCGCAAUCUCUACUUAUAUCGUAACAUAAGAUAUAUACAAAGAUAAGGCAUUACACACGCUACCAUUUUUAGGGUAAGAUCACAAUUGAUGAUUUAGUUCGACCUUUAGUAGGUCUGGUGGUAGGACCUCUUGAAGUCCGCGCGGGUAGGUACCACCACCCUGCCUAUUUCUGCCGUGAAGCAGUAAUGCGUUUCGGUUUGAAGGGUGGGGCAGCCGUUGUAACUAUACUGAGAUCUUAGAACUUAUAUCUCAAGGUGGGUGGCGCAUUUACAAGGUGGGUGGCGUAUAGUAGUUGUCUAUGGGCUCCAGUAACCACUUAACACCAGGUGAGCUGUGAGCUUGUCCACCCAUCUAAGCCAUAAAAAAAGUAACUAAUAAAGAGCGUGCGUGAUAAAUAUACGGUGUAAAUAGAUUCAAUGGUCAAAUUUUAAUUGAAUAUAAUUAAAGGUUCUCUUACGAUUUAAUUACAGGUUUAAUUUUUAAUUAAGAUUUACUCUUUUCCUGACGUCACCUUAAGCCGUAAACGCAGUUCUAAUUAAGUCUACGACUAAUUAUGUCUAUGUCUACGAUGGCGAUAAGGAAAAUACUAGAAGUAUAUAUAUAAAUAAGUACCUUCUUUGACCUCGUCCAGGCCGAUUUUCCUGCCGACCUGAUCUCCGAGUCCACUAAGCACCAAUUGCCUGAGCAGCCUGGCUUGCUUUUCAUCUGGGGGCUUCAUCUCGGGGUCGACGGAGACGUCCACGCCGGCAACACUGAGAUUUAUCUCCGACGCCAGCUGCUUACGUAUCUUGCGUAUUUCUUUGAUCGCCUUAAGCAAUAUGUAGAUGUUGACAAAUAAUGAAGGCUUCAACUUAAUCUGUCUUAAGUUAUAGAUUGUGUUGGGUCUUAAGUGGAUACACUGAGCCCGUAGACAGCAACAACGUAAAUACCGUCACCCACUUAGAGACAAUAGUUCUACAUCUGUUUUUACAGUACAACGGCCCCUUCUCCCCUUCCCCCCACUCCUCAAACCGAAACGCAUUACUGCUUCACGGCAGAAAUAGGCAGGGUGAUGACACCCACAAGAGAUCCUACCACCAGUAAUUACGUAAAUUAUAAUUUUGCGGGUUUUGAUUUUUUUUACACGACGCUCUAUUCCUUCACUGUGGAAGUCAAUCGUGAACAUUUGUCAAGAACGUAUUUCAUUAGAAAAAUUGAUACCCCCGGCAGCCUCGCCUGAUACGAAUGGACAGGACGUCUUAUCCUUUAGACUACGACGGCUUUGAAAUUAUUUUUUAAGGGAUUUUAUGACCCGGUAACUAAGACAUUUAGGUCAAGUCUUAUUUUAAUUUUAAUGAUAACUUUUUUAUAUGAAAAAUGAUAUUAUGAAACGAAAUGAAGUUGAUUAUUAUGAAACAUGGCAUGAAAUGAAAUGAAAUGACUUUGAAUGACUUUUUCAGUGAACUUUUUGGAGGAUCACGAGAAGUUACGUCCAGCGGCUUUGUUUCAUUUUCCCACAUUUGUCACACUUUCACAGAUACUAAGCAGUUAAUAAACCACCAUUAUUACACAUUUAAACCUGAAACAUUUAGACCUAAGAAACACUAAAUAAACAAAAUAAAACAAAUCACACAACUUCACUCCUCGCGUUCCCGCCAAAAAGUCAACGACUUUGAAACUUUCGAGUCAAUGUUGCCAUACCUUUUCCCUCAAUCCGUAUUUAGCACAGAAUAGCUGUUCUUCACCCUUCCGAUGUGCAUAUUCAGCCGCGCCCACAGCACGGAGCAAUACUCCGGGGUCUCCCAGCAGCAGCGUGUGUCCCGUCGCGGGCCAAUUGUCAGCUUUCCCGGACAUCACCUGUAAAUUUGCGUCCCUUAGGUAUAUAUUUCUUCCAAAUCUUGUGUGACCUAAAAUAUGACGACCCUACCUCAUCGCGUGGGUUUCAUUAGGAUAAUGAGCAGCAGUAUACUCUGAUACAAAAUUCUCCAAAAAAAUUCAAAUAGUAUAUGAGAGGAAGUGUAAAAAUAGCCCCAGUGAUUGAUAAAUUAAAUGGUUUAGCGUGGUAUGGACGUGUGAUGCGUAGAGGGGAGAUGCAUGGGACUAGAUGUAUGGAAAUGGUAGUGCAAGGUAGAGGUGAAGAGUUCGAAGAAGACAUGGAUGGAGUGUGUGAAUGACGAUGUGAGAGAGGGAGAGGAGUGAGUGUUGAGAUGACGGCUGAUAGAGAAGAAUGGAAUAGAAAAAUUCGCUUUGCCGACCCCACCUAGUGGGAUACGGUGGAGAAAAAGAAGAAGCGUAUUUCUGACAUGAAGCAGUAACGCGAAGUGUUACUUGAAAUCCUAGUGCACGAUCGGAUUUGAAGACUUAUACUACAAAUUAUUAUAAUGAACUAAUCAAUUGCCAUCACAUGUCCGUCUGUCUGUCUUCGACACCGAUAAACAUCCUAUAUGUACUUAAAAUAUCUAAAUAUAUAUAAAAUGGGCAUUAAUGGUGUAAGUUCAUAAGCCUGCACAGUAAGAUACCAUUAUUCGGCCUAUUACUGUAAUAAUAAUGCAUUACAGUUUGAAAAGAGGUAAAUCAUCGUAUAGAUUCGAUAUCGUAUCUCAACGUAACUGGUGGAAUUCACGUUGCGAUCUCUCUAUGGGCCGUAAUCAAAAGAUUAACUUAAAUAACUUUUUACUGGUGGUAGGACCACAUGUGAGUCCGCACGGGUAGGUACCACCACCCUGCCUAUUUCUGCCGUGAAGCAGUAAUGCGUUUCGGUUUGAAGGGUGGGGCAGCCGUUGUAACUAUACUGAGACUUUAGAACUUGUAUCUCAAGGUGGGUGGCGCGUCUACGUUGUAGAUGUCUAUGGGCUCCAGUAACCACUUAAAACCAGGUGGGCUGUGAGCUCGUCCACCCACCUAAGCAAUAAAAAUAAAAAAACUUACCUCUGGUACUGUUAAAGCGGCCACCAAAGCUAUAGUGUACGGUAACAAGGCCUGCUGAUGACUGAGCGCCAACAUUUUCCCGUAACGCGGAAGCAAAGGGAACGCCGAAACAGCCUUACCUAAAGGCGUCACUUUUAGUAUCUGUGGAAAAGAAAAUAUUUUCACAUCAUUCGUUUUUUUUUUUUUAAUGUAUUUCAAAAGAGUCUAUUAUGUUGUAUUUAUAUCGAGGGGCAAAGGGUUAUUUAGUUUAAAAGACCUUUCUACAACAUGACAAGAGUGCCGUUUGAAGUUUAAAAUUUGGAAAAAUAAAUCAUCACAAAAAAACUUCUUCAGCUAUUUGAAUGAGGUAAACUUAAUUGAAAUUCAAUUUAAAACAUCGGACUUUUGAUGCUAAUACCAAAUAAAUCGGACCUUUACUUACAAAGACAAAUGUCGCGUAUUAAGCUAAAUGUUGUUUAAACCAAAUUAUUAAUCAACCCUCGAUAUGAAUGUCUCAAUCAGUUUUUAUAAAAGCCUGUAUAGGUGUUAUUUUUCGACUUCCUCCAAAUAGGUUCAAAUACUUCUACCUAGAUAGUGGUAUUUGCAGUCGCCACAAGUUUUUUUUUUAUCGCAAACUAUUUUAUAGUUUUCCUUGAAGCGAGCCAGUAACUUUCCGACGGGCCACGGCAGUUAAGCAUUCGUGUGCCUGAUUCGGUUAAAUGGCGCUCAACAAAACAUGUCCGAUUACGGUGGUCAAUACUUUUUUUUUUGUUGCUUAGAUGGGUGAACUAGCACACAGCCCACCUGGUGUUAAGUGGUUACUGGAGCCCAUAGACAUCUACAACGUAAAUGCGCCACCCACCUUGAGAUAUAACUUCUAAGGUCUCAGUAUAGUUACAACGGUUGCGCCUCCAUUCAAACCGAAACGCAUUACUGCUUCACGGCAGAAAUAGGCAGGGCGGUGGUACCUACCCGUGCGGACUCACAAGAGGUCCUACCACCAGUAAAUCGUUGAUUACUAAUAAUUAUUCGACCUCCUCUUGGCAAUUCCUGCUUGCGUUCUUCGAGUCGUGCCUCUCGAGUAUCCCGAGAGUUUCAAGGCGUUUUUCGGCCAAACGUAAUUGUAAACGAUCCGGCGCCGUCGGGAACGGAAAAUUGACAACCUGCCAAAUAAAAAAAGAUUACUUAAUAAAACUUAACAUACACACACAUCAAUCAAUAUCCGGGUCAGCGAGUCGAGAUCACUUUUAUUAAGCGACUCGACUGCAUAGUCGGCGACCAUUUUCAGGAAUCUCCUUUUUUUUAGUAUGGCAAUCGGUUUUUUGCGUUUCCGUUGUUGCCAUAAUUAUUAAUUUAAAUUAUAAGUUUGAACAUUAUUAUCGUUCUAUUGUCAAAGACUUUACUUCUAUGAUCACAAUUUCGCUAAGGCUACACUAUAGACAAAUAAUAUUAAAGAAAAACAAUAUUAAUCUAUUCAAAAGUUGACCACAGACUUUAACAAGUCAAAUACACGUUAGUGUGUUUCCUUUGGGUUACCAUUGGGUUAAUUUAUUUUUUAUGCAUUAUUUUAAGAAAAAUAUUAGCAUUCUGCACUCCUUCACUAUAUUAUGUAUAAAUGUGAGAAAUUUCAUACUACUCCGUCCUCGCAAUUUUCCUAAGGGAUACAAAGUUUUUGCUUCACGUAUUAAAUAUAUAGAUUUUAAAAUAAUGACGUCAUCAGACCUUAUCGAUGCCCAUGCACUUCAUCAUGAGGACCAGGUCGUCGACGGGCCUGCGGCAGAGGUCAGGCGCGUGCUGCGGCGGGCAGUCAUGCUGGUAGACCGCGCUGCUGUACAGCCGGUACACGUGGCCGGCGCACACCCGCCCCGCGCGCCCCGCCCGCUGCCCGGCGCUGGCCUGGCUCGUCCACACAACGCGCCACGCGCUCGCGCCCGUCACGUGGUCGUGUACCCUGCGACACACGAUCCACCACGGAUGCAGACGCUACAGAUAUCGCUUUCGGACCUUUAUCGACAACGUAUUUAAUGGCCGGUAUCGUUAGAGACGUCUCCGCGACAUCCGUGCUGACCACGCACAGCCUGGCGCCCACCGGGGGAGGUUCGAAGACCCGAGCUUGCUUGUUCGAGUUUAGCAUAGAGUACAGAGGCAAGACCCAUAGAGGUUGACGACACGACUUUAUUUCCGGCAUCAGGGAGUCUUCCUCUGCGUCUGCGUUUAAAAAUAUAUUAUAACGAGGUGUGAAAGGAUAUUUGAUUUAUGCGAUAUUCCACUUAAUACGCAACAUUUAUCUAUGCAUAUUUUUAGUAUUUAUUUGUAGAUAAUCGUAGGUAACUCUAUCUUAUAUUAUAUUUAUUUUUCACAUGUGUAUAUAAGGAAAUUAUUUUUAUGUAAGUUUAUUAAGAUAUAGCACCGUCCAUGCUAGUUUGUUUAUUCCUCUCCCUGCAAGGUUGCCUGGAAGAGAUCGCUUUCAGCGGUAAGGCCGCCAAUUUAUGUCACCGUCUAUUUUUUGCUUACUCUGAAACUUGUCUAUUUUUUUCAAAGAUAAUAUUAUUAAUACGCUUUCUUUAUAUAACUCAAUUCUGGAAGACGUCGUGGCCUAAAGGAUAAAACGACCGGUAUAUUCGUAUCGGGAGAUGCGAUUGUGCCGGUGUUCGAAUCCCGCAGGCAGUCCAAAUAUUUUUAAUGAAAUACAUACUUGACUCAUAAUCACGAUUGCGGAAUAACAUAAUGAGCAAAAAACAAGGAAAAUGAGUAAUCACCAUAAUAUAAUAAUCAUAGACCUCGAGUGUCAUUUUCAAGACCCCAAGUCUCAAGGUGUAUGGCGCCAUUCACGCUAUGAGGUCAAUGGGCUCUGAUAACAGCUUAACUAUGCCGUGAAAUGGAUCACCGGUGUGUCACUAUGCAAUUGAUAAUA